CGGACGGGUGAGUAAUGCUGGGAAGCUGCCUGAUGGAGGGGGGUAACUACUGGAAACGGUAGCUAAUACCGCAUAACGUCGCAAGACCAAAGAGGGGGACCUUCGGGCCUCUUGCCAUCGGAUGUGCCCAGAUGGGAUUAGCUAGUAGGUGGGGUAACGGCUCACCUAGGCGACGAUCCCUAGCUGAUCUGAGAGGAUGACCAGCCACACUGGAACUGAGACACGGUCCAG
This 231-nucleotide ribosomal RNA is filed under the name uncultured bacterium. Its description in RNAcentral is "partial 16S ribosomal RNA". It matches the Rfam family "Bacterial small subunit ribosomal RNA", at positions 99 to 334 of the family's 1533-position model. The record is from RNAcentral.